RNAcentral lists this unclassified non-coding RNA (169 nucleotides) under uncultured fungus. Its description in RNAcentral is "partial contains 18S rRNA, ITS1, 5.8S rRNA". The record is from RNAcentral. Lineage: Eukaryota; Fungi.
GCGGAAGGAUCAGUAGAGAAUGCUGGGCUUCGGUCCAUUUAUCUACCCAUCUACACCUGUGGGCUGUUUAUGUGCUUCGGCACGUUUUACACAAACUUCUAAAUGUAAUGAAUGUAAUCUUAUUAUAACAAUAAUAAAACUUUCAACAACGGAUCUCUUGGCUUCCACA